GGAUUAAUACCGCAUACGAUCUAGGGAUGAAAGCGGGGGACCUUCGGGCCUCGCGCUCAAGGAGCGGCCGAUGGCGGAUUAGCUAGUUGGUGAGGUAAAGGCUCACCAAGGCGACGAUCCGUAGCUGGUCUGAGAGGACGACCAGCCACACUGGGACUGAGACACGGCCCAGACUCCUACGGGAGGCAGCAGUGGGGAAUUUUGGACAAUGGGCGCAAGCCUGAUCCAGCAAUGCCGCGUGUGUGAAGAAGGCCUUCGGGUUGUAAAGCACUUUUGUCCGGAAAGAAAACUUCGUCCCUAACAUGGAUGGAGGAUGACGGUACCGGAAGAAUAAGCACCGGCUAACUACGUGCCAGCAGCCGCGGUAAUACGUAGGGUGCGAGCGUUAAUCGGAAUUACUGGGCGUAAAGCGUGCGCAGGCGGUGAUGUAAGACCGAUGUGAAAUCCCCGGGCUUAACCUGGGAACUGCAUUGGUGACUGCAUUGCUGGAGUAUGGCAGAGGGGGGUGGAAUUCCACGUGUAGCAGUGAAAUGCGUAGAGAUGUGGAGGAACACCGAUGGC
Molecule: ribosomal RNA, 561 nt
Filed under: Paraburkholderia sp.
Lineage: Bacteria; Pseudomonadati; Pseudomonadota; Betaproteobacteria; Burkholderiales; Burkholderiaceae
Description: bacterial SSU rRNA
Rfam family: Bacterial small subunit ribosomal RNA
Source: RNAcentral